This 460-nucleotide ribosomal RNA is filed under the name uncultured bacterium. RNAcentral's name for it is "partial 16S ribosomal RNA". It matches the Rfam family "Bacterial small subunit ribosomal RNA", at positions 338 to 795 of the family's 1533-position model. The record is from RNAcentral.
CCUACGGGUGGCUGCAGUGAGGAAUAUUGGUCAAUGGGCGCGAGCCUGAACCAGCCAAGUAGCGUGAAGGAUGACUGCCCUACGGGUUGUACACUUCUUUUAUAAAGGAAUAAAGUGAGGCACGUGUGCCUUUUUGUAUGUACUUUAUGAAUAAUGAUCGGCUCACUCCGUACCAGCAGCCGCGGUCAUACGGAGGAUCCGAGCGUUAUUCGGAUUUAUUGGGUUUAAAGGGAGCGUAGAUGGGUUGUUAAGUCAGUUGUGAAAGUUUGCUGAUCAAACGUAAAAUUGCAAUUGAUACUGGCAGCCUUGAGUACAGUUGAGGUAGGCGGAAUGCGUGGUGUAGCGGUGAAAUGCUUAGAUAUCACGAAGAACUCCGAUUGCGAAGGCAGCCUACUAAACUGCCACUGACAUUGAUGCUCGAAAGUGUGGGUAUCAAACAGGAUUAGAUACCCGGGUAGUC